RNAcentral lists this long non-coding RNA (479 nucleotides) under Rattus norvegicus (Norway rat). RNAcentral describes it as "long non-coding RNA NONRATT011871". The record is from RNAcentral. Lineage: Eukaryota; Metazoa; Chordata; Mammalia; Rodentia; Muridae.
CCACUUGCCCAGGCCCAGGGCUCAGAGAGGUGCUCAGAUCUCAAGACCUGGCCAGGGGGACCUUGCUGGCGUCUGCUGAGCACACCAUGGCCGGCAACCCUAUGAUGCUGAUGAUGGAGGGCUGUGGGGCAGCAUCCACACUGGGCAAAGAGGGCAGCUCAAGCCACGCAGGCCACACCAGAGACAAGAAGAGAUGCCCAGCACCCCAACCCCACCCCAAGCCUUCCCACAUCCCUGAGCUCUCCUUGGGCUCCCAAGACAAUGUCAGUCUUUGGUCCCAGCCUGUGCUGCUCUGAUACCCAGGUGUCUACACAGCCUUAUUCUAGGCCCACCCUGGCAGGCCACCCCAUCCUGUCACUGCUGUGUGACCCAGCUCCAAUGCCCUCACUCUUUUUUUCUUUUUUGUAACACCAGUAGGUUUCUGUUCUAUUUAAAAUGAAGCCAGCUUGCUCAGAACUUCAACAGAUACAAUAUAAAAU